UACGAGGGGGGCAAGCGUUGUUCGGAAUUAUUGGGCGUAAAGGGUGCGUAGGCUGUGCGGUAAGUCACCUGUGAAAUCUCUGGGCUCAACCCAGAGCCUGCAGGCGAAACUGCCGUGCUGGAGUAUGGGAGAGGUGCGUGGAAUUCCCGGUGUAGCGGUGAAAUGCGUAGAUAUCCGGAGGAACACCGGUGGCGAAGGCGGCUUCCUGGACCGACACUGACGCUGAGGCGCGAAAGCUAGGGGAGCAAACGGG
Molecule: ribosomal RNA, 253 nt
Filed under: uncultured bacterium
Lineage: Bacteria
Description: partial 16S ribosomal RNA
Rfam family: Bacterial small subunit ribosomal RNA
Source: RNAcentral